Molecule: ribosomal RNA, 515 nt
Filed under: uncultured bacterium
Lineage: Bacteria
Description: partial 16S ribosomal RNA
Rfam family: Bacterial small subunit ribosomal RNA
Source: RNAcentral
GAUGAACGCUGGCGGCGUGCCUAAUACAUGCAAGUCGAGCGGAUGGACUAAGAGCUUGCUCUUAUGAAGUUAGCGGCGGACGGGUGAGCAACACGUGGGUAACCUGCCCAUAAGACUGGGAUAACUCCGGGAAACCGGGGCUAAUACCGGAUAACAUUUUGAACCGCAUGGUUCGAAAUUGAAAGGCGGCUUCGGCUGUCACUUAUGGAUGGACCCGCGUCGCAUUAGCUAGUUGGUGAGGUAACGGCCCACCAAGGCAACGAUGCGUAGCCGACCUGAGAGGGUGAUCGGCCACACUGGGACUGAGACACGGCCCAGACUCCUACGGGAGGCAGCAGUAGGGAAUCUUCCGCAAUGGACGAAAGUCUGACGGAGCAACGCCGCGUGAGUGAUGAAGGCUUUCGGGUCGUAAAACUCUGUUGUUAGGGAAGAACAAGUGCCAGUUGAAUAAGCUGGCACCUUGACGGUACCUAACCAGAAAGCCACGGCUAACUACGUGCCAGCAGCCGCGGUAA